Molecule: non-coding RNA, 75 nt
Organism: Myotis davidii
Lineage: Eukaryota; Metazoa; Chordata; Mammalia; Chiroptera; Vespertilionidae
Source: Rfam
GGUGGUUCUUGGGUGACGCACCCUGGAAUUGGGCUCCCUCCUCUCUGAUUCUGGGUGUGUCACCCGAGAAACGCA